UACGUAGGGUGCAAGCGUUAAUCGGAAUUACUGGGCGUAAAGCGUGCGCAGGCGGUUUGGUAAGACAGAUGUGAAAUCCCCGGGCUUAACCUGGGAAUUGCAUUUGUGACUGCCCGGCUAGAGUGUGUCAGAGGGGGGUAGAAUUCCACGUGUAGCAGUGAAAUGCGUAGAUAUGUGGAGGAAUACCGAUGGCGAAGGCAGCCCCCUGGGAUAACACUGACGCUCAUGCACGAAAGCGUGGGGAGCAAACAGG
RNAcentral lists this ribosomal RNA (253 nucleotides) under uncultured bacterium. Its description in RNAcentral is "partial 16S ribosomal RNA". It matches the Rfam family "Bacterial small subunit ribosomal RNA", at positions 524 to 776 of the family's 1533-position model. RNAcentral also lists the same sequence under 1 other name. The record is from RNAcentral.